Molecule: non-coding RNA, 1444 nt
Organism: Sciurus carolinensis (gray squirrel)
Lineage: Eukaryota; Metazoa; Chordata; Mammalia; Rodentia; Sciuridae
Source: the annotation of a RefSeq genome assembly
GAACUGGUUCAACUGGAAACUCACCCCAUCUUAGCAACAGGUUAAGUCUAAAGGCAAAAAAAUAGUUAGGAGAUCCUCUUUUCUCAGACCCCAACAUUUGUGCUGGGACGGUAAGGUAAAGGGCCGUCAUGAAACCCUAACAUAGCCAUUACCAUGCUUGGGAAGAAGCAGGGGUGAGGGGAGUGGCUGGAUAUAGACGGUAUUGAAGGCAUGGGACGCCUAGGUCGUGCCAGUACAGGUCAUUGUGCCGACAGUGUCCACAGGUGAGGGCUCGGGCCAAGGAAUUUAAUCCAGCGCUCUCACUGGAUUCCAAGACCUGGAUUCAAGGGGUUGAAGCCCCAGAGUAGGGUGGGAUGGGGUUCGUUCAAUUGGAAAGUGACUUAAAAUCUUCUCCAUCUCCCUAAGACACAUAAAAUAGGUAAAAUUCCCUUAUAAAGGGUUCAACAUAUUGUGACAACUUGUAUUUCUGUUAAUUUUCAUCCCUGUAUCACAGUGUUUGUCUUUUUCCAAACCUGUGUCUCAAAUUUCCCAUCAGAAACAUUUCUCAGAUUUGGACAGAGUGGAGACACCUGGGCUUGGCACGUUUGUGCACCAAAAGCUCUCUGCUAGGAUCAGAGCAGAGCCAAACUGGGCAGCAGACUCUGGCAAAGGGCGGGUGUGCGAUGAAUAUGGCCCCUUCCAUCCCCUCACGAGGGAUCACACGAGAGGACCUGAGUAAGGUGACCCCACCCAAGGUCACUCUGUUUGAGCCAUCAGAAGCAGAGAUCAGCAAGAAACAAAAGGCCACCCUCGUGUGCCUGGCCACAGACUUCUACCCAGACCACGUGGAGCUGAGCUGGUGGGUGAACGGGAAGGAGGUGCACAGUGGGGUCAGCACGGACCCUCAGCCCUCCAAGGAGCAGAGCACCCUCGAGGACUCCAAGUACUUCCUGAGCAGUCGCCUGAGGGUCUCUGCCACCUUCUGGCUCAACCCUCGCAACCACUUCCGCUGCCAAGUGCGGUUCUAUGGACUCUCAGAGGAAGACCAGUGGACCGAGGAGAGGGACAAACCCAUCACCCAGAACAUCAGUGCUGACACCUGGGGCAAAGCAGACUGUGGCAUCACCUCAGCGUCCUAUCAGCAAGGGGUGCUGUCCGCCACCCUCCUGUACGAGAUCCUGCUGGGGAAGGCCACCGUGUAUGCUGUGCUGGUCAGCACCCUGGUGCUGUUAGCCAAGGUCAAGAGAAAGGAUUCCUAAAGCCAUCUCUGGAGGCCCAGCUAGGAACUUUCAACCCAAUAAGGCACCGCGCGGAUUCUUCUUUUUUUUGCCAAUGCUUCAAAGGACGGUUCCCAUCGCUCUCCUCUCUUCAACAUCUAUCCUGAGCACUUUUGCUUAAAUCUCCCUAUCCCAGAGGAAUCCUAGAGUGCCUAGAUGAUUGAACCAAUAAAAAUGUCCUGUUCUGA